Molecule: ribosomal RNA, 554 nt
Filed under: uncultured picoeukaryote
Lineage: Eukaryota
Description: bacterial SSU rRNA
Rfam family: Bacterial small subunit ribosomal RNA
Source: RNAcentral
UAGUCUGGUGCAGCAGCCGCGGUAAUACGGGGGAUGCAAGCGUUAUCCGGAAUCAUUGGGCGUAAAGCGCCUGUAGGUUGUUUAGUAAGUCUGUUGUUAAAGACCAGGGCUUAACCCUGGGAAAGCAAUGGAAACUACUAGACUUGAGUAUGGCAGGGGUAGAGGGAAUUUCUAGUGUAGCGGUGAAAUGCGUAGAUAUUAGAAAGAACACCGGCGGCGAAAGCGCUCUACUGGACCAUUACUGACACUCAGAGGCGAAAGCUAGGGGAGCAAAAGGGAUUAGAUACCCCUGUAGUCCUAGCCGUAAACGAUGGAUACUAGAUGUUGCGCAAUUUGUGCAGUAUCUUAGCUAACGCGUUAAGUAUCCCGCCUGGGGAGUACGCUCGCAAGGGUGAAACUCAAAGGAAUUGACGGGGGCCCGCACAAGCGGUGGAGCAUGUGGUUUAAUUCGAUGCAACGCGAAGAACCUUACCAGGGCUUGACAUACUACAAAUCUUUUCGAAACGAAAGAGUGCCUUCGGGAAUGUAGAUACAGGUGGUGCAUGGCCGUUCUU